AGUGAACGCUGGCGGUAGGCCUAACACAUGCAAGUCGAACGGCAGCACAGUAAGAGCUUGCUCUUACGGGUGGCGAGUGGCGGAUGGGUGAGGAAUACAUCGGAAUCUACUUUUUCGUGGGGGAUAACGUAGGGAAACUUACGCUAAUACCGCAUACGACCUACGGGUGAAAGCAGGGGAUCUUCGGACCUUGCGCGAUUGAAUGAGCCGAUGUCGGAUUAGCUAGUUGGCGGGGUAAAGGCCCACCAAGGCGACGAUCCGUAGCUGGUCUGAGAGGAUGAUCCGCCACACUGGGACUGAGACACGGUCCAGACUCCUACGGGAGGCAGCAGUGGGGAAUAUUGGACAAUGGGCGCAAGCCUGAUCCAGCCAUACCGCGUGGGUGAAGAAGGCCUUCGGGUUGUAAAGCCCUUUUGUUGGGAAAGAAAAGCAGCAGGUUAAUACCCCGCUGUUCUGACGGUACCCAAAGAAUAAGCACCGGCUAACUUCGUG
Molecule: ribosomal RNA, 492 nt
Filed under: uncultured bacterium
Lineage: Bacteria
Description: partial 16S ribosomal RNA
Rfam family: Bacterial small subunit ribosomal RNA
Source: RNAcentral